This 440-nucleotide ribosomal RNA is filed under the name uncultured bacterium. Its description in RNAcentral is "partial 16S ribosomal RNA". It matches the Rfam family "Bacterial small subunit ribosomal RNA", at positions 338 to 795 of the family's 1533-position model. The record is from RNAcentral.
CCUACGGGGGGCAGCAGUGGGGAAUAUUGCACAAUGGGGGAAACCCUGAUGCAGCGACGCCGCGUGAGUGAAGAAGUAUCUCGGUACGUAAAGCUCUAUCAGCAGGGAAGAAAAUGACGGUACCUGACUAAGAAGCCCCGGCUAACUACGUGCCAGCAGCCGCGGUAAUACGUAGGGGGCAAGCGUUAUCCGGAUUUACUGGGUGUAAAGGGAGCGGAGACGGCAGCAAAAGUCUGGAGUGAAAUCCCGGGGCUUAACCCCGGAACUGCUUUGGAAACUGUGCGGCUGGAGUGCAGGAGGGGUAAGCGGAAUUCCUAGCGUAGCUGGGAAAUGCGUAGAUAUUAGGAGGAACACCGGUGGCGAAGGCGGCUUACUGGACUGUAACUGACGUUGAGGUUCGAAAGCGUGGGGCGCAAACAGGAUUAGAUACCCUUGUAGUC